UGCCUUUGUGUGUUCUCAAGAUUGAAUCAUU
RNAcentral lists this non-coding RNA (31 nucleotides) under Rattus norvegicus (Norway rat). Lineage: Eukaryota; Metazoa; Chordata; Mammalia; Rodentia; Muridae. The record is from RNAcentral.